RNAcentral lists this unclassified non-coding RNA (536 nucleotides) under Hevea brasiliensis (rubber tree). The record is from RNAcentral. Lineage: Eukaryota; Viridiplantae; Streptophyta; Magnoliopsida; Malpighiales; Euphorbiaceae.
AAAAGAUGCCCUAACUACUGACGAGAAAGAUUAUGUUGAAACAAGGGAGGCUGUUGGAGAGAACAAAAUAGAUUCAAAAGGUGAGGAUAAAUUUAAAGAGAAGGACAGGAAAAGAAAAGAUACAAAGCAGCGGGAUUGGGGAGAUAAAGAUAAGGAAAGAAAUGAUCAUAGGAGCAGUACUCAAGCAACAAACACUAACGUUGAGCCCAAAGACUUGUCAAAGGAAGAGAGAGAUGUGGAAAGGUGGGAGAGGGACCGGAAAGAUACCUCAAAAGACAAGGAAAGACCUCGUGAAAGGGACAAAGACCAUGCUGCGAAGAGAGAAUCAUGGAAUGGGAUGGAUAAGGAGACUGCACACCUUGAAAAGGAGUCAGGUGAAGUGUCUGCGAGAAUGUUAGAGCAGGACAAUCCAAUUUCAGAUCAGAAAAAGCAGAAGGAUUUUGAUAGCUGGAAAAAUGCUGAUAGAGAGGGUAGAGACAGGAAGAAAGAGAGGGAUGCAGACAUCGAGGGAGAUCGGCCAGAAAAGCGUAGUAGAU